RNAcentral lists this ribosomal RNA (253 nucleotides) under uncultured bacterium. Its description in RNAcentral is "partial 16S ribosomal RNA". It matches the Rfam family "Bacterial small subunit ribosomal RNA", at positions 524 to 776 of the family's 1533-position model. The record is from RNAcentral.
UACGUAGGGUGCGAGCGUUAAUCGGAAUUACUGGGCGUAAAGCGUGCGCAGGCGGUGAUGUAAGACAGAUGUGAAAUCCCCGGGCUCAACCUGGGAACUGCAUUUGUGACUGCAUCGCUGGAGUGCGGCAGAGGGGGAUGGAAUUCCGCGUGUAGCAGUGAAAUGCGUAGAUAUGCGGAGGAACACCGAUGGCGAAGGCAAUCCCCUGGGCCUGCACUGACGCUCAUGCACGAAAGCGUGGGUAGCAAACAGG